Molecule: non-coding RNA, 137 nt
Organism: Rana temporaria (common frog)
Lineage: Eukaryota; Metazoa; Chordata; Amphibia; Anura; Ranidae
Product: small Cajal body-specific RNA 11
Exons: 1
Source: RefSeq, a predicted model, not a curated record
CCGUCUAGUCUUCAUCACCAACGCCCCUCAUCAAGUCAUGAUUUGUGGGAAGCAGUGGCUGGACGUAGAGUAAACCUGUCUGUUUAGGAGGGCCGCACACAGCAAAGUGCUCUCCCUUAAAGGCUUGACAGGACAUG